CAUUAAGAAGCUAAAACAGGAUUAUAGCAUUAGCCUUUUAAGCUAAAUAAUGGUGACCUCCUACCACCCUUAAUGA
Molecule: transfer RNA, 76 nt
Filed under: Narcine entemedor (giant electric ray)
Lineage: Eukaryota; Metazoa; Chordata; Chondrichthyes; Torpediniformes; Narcinidae
Description: tRNA-Lys
Source: RNAcentral